AAUCACCGAAGUCAAGCAUCAUCGGGCGCUGUCAGUACUUGGGAGGGUGACCACCUGGGAACACCGCGUGCCGUU
RNAcentral lists this ribosomal RNA (75 nucleotides) under Caerostris extrusa. Lineage: Eukaryota; Metazoa; Arthropoda; Arachnida; Araneae; Araneidae. The record is from RNAcentral.